This 301-nucleotide ribosomal RNA is filed under the name uncultured bacterium. Its description in RNAcentral is "partial 16S ribosomal RNA". It matches the Rfam family "Bacterial small subunit ribosomal RNA", at positions 509 to 808 of the family's 1533-position model. The record is from RNAcentral.
CAGUCGCCGCGGGAAUACGUAGGGGGCGAGCGUUGUCCGAAGUUACUGGGCGUAAAGAGCGCGUAGGCUGGUCUUUAAGUGAGUGGUGAAAGGUUCGGGCUCAACCCGGACACUGCCUUUCAUACUGGGGACCUUGAGUGUGGGAGAGGCGAGUGGAAUGGUCGGUGUAGCGGUGAAAUGCGUAGAUAUCGAUCGGAACACCCAUGGCGAAGGCAGCUCGCUGCCUAACACUGACGCUGAGGCGCGAAAGCGUGGGGAGCAAACAGGGUUAGAUACCCCGGUAGUCCCUGUCUCUUAUACA